Molecule: long non-coding RNA, 1155 nt
Filed under: Sus scrofa (pig)
Lineage: Eukaryota; Metazoa; Chordata; Mammalia; Artiodactyla; Suidae
Description: lncRNA (ENSSSCG00060050326.1)
Source: RNAcentral
ACACCCGUCCCCCCGCGCCCCCCUUUCUAAACAGCUCUCUCCUCCUCCUGCAUCCUUUCCGUCUUUGUAACUGCUUCGCCCACACGGAGCAAGCAGAAGCCCUCAUUCUUGCCGCUGCCAGAUUUCUCAACCCUCACCGCCUAUGCAUACCCAACUCGAGCUGCAAACUUCUAGAAUGAUUUGUAAUUAUUGACUUCCUGGCUGGCUGAGUCUGGCUCCCAUCUCCAGCACCAGAGAGACGCUGUCCUGGCGAGCACGAUCACCUCCGAGCCCAGAGCUUUUCACCUCAUGGGACAUGGAAACCCUCCUUCACUGGUUUCCUUCCUGACAUUUUUUACUUUUUCAACAUAUUUUGCACAGGAGCCCACACUGAAUACUCUUAGGGCAUAUUGCUUGAUAGCUCGUUGUCCUUGUUCACGUCUGGCUGGCUCGGAGAAGACGGAUUGGGUGGGGAAGGGCUGAGCCAAGAUUCCAGCAGAUCCACUGGCUCUAAGCAUCCAGCCACAGAAGCGUGGCGUUGGAGAUGGGACUUUUCGAGCACUCAGAAAUGUGCAUCUGGAGAGCUGAGCUGCGCCCAGAAGGUUGUCUGCAGACAGGGUGGAGCUGGUGGCGUGUGCAAGCCAUUCCCGCAGAAGCAGGGCACUGCCCACGACCGUCAGCACGGCGUCUGUAUCCUGGAAACCAGCAGGUGGGAGCAGGUGGGAGCUGCUGCAGCAGACACUGAACGCUGAUUUAUGGACAGAUUGGGGCUUGUUGGCAGAAAGCCGAAACGCCAGCGCGGCCGAGCGCUGUGAGGGGCAGCCUGGAAACCCGCAGGAUGAUGAGAAGGCCGGGAUGGAAUGGAACUCGUGGGGAGAGAGAAGUGAAGACAGAAGGCCACAUUUCUUUUCCUGCAGUAAACCACUGCAUGAGAGGCACGGUACGCUGCCUGCCUCUGCUCCCCAAACUCUCGGGGGGCGCUUGGUAACUGCCUAGCUGUGUAUCUGUCUAGGUCAGCCGGGUGCCAAUCACAGAGCUCCUUGGAAGAGAGCUGAGGGAUGCUCUGAUCUCCGCUGGCCUGCAUCCCUCAGCUCUCCCCUUCGGUGCAGAAUGCUGCCCUCCCCCCACGUGGGCGCCUGUGGGUUCCCUGCCUGACCUGCCUCCAGCCCGAGCAGC